Molecule: ribosomal RNA, 260 nt
Filed under: uncultured bacterium
Lineage: Bacteria
Description: partial 16S ribosomal RNA
Rfam family: Bacterial small subunit ribosomal RNA
Source: RNAcentral
CGUAGGGUGCAAGCGUUAUCCGGAAUUAUUGGGCGUAAAGGGCUCGUAGGCGGUUCGUCGCGUCCGGUGUGAAAGUCCAUCGCUUAACGGUGGAUCCGCGCCGGGUACGGGCGGGCUUGAGUGCGGUAGGGGAGACUGGAAUUCCCGGUGUAACGGUGGAAUGUGUAGAUAUCGGGAAGAACACCAAUGGCGAAGGCAGGUCUCUGGGCCGUCACUGACGCUGAGGAGCGAAAGCGUGGGGAGCGAACAGGAAUUAGAUA